UGAACGCUGGCGGCGUGCCUAAUACAUGCAAGUCGAGCGAACGGACGAGAAGCUUGCUUCUCUGAUGUUAGCGGCGGACGGGUGAGUAACACGUGGAUAACCUACCUAUAAGACUGGGAUAACUUCGGGAAACCGGAGCUAAUACCGGAUGAUAUUUUGAACCGCAUGGUUCACAAGUGAAAGACGGUCUUGCUGUCACUUAUAGAUGGAUCCGCGCUGCAUUAGCUAGUUGGUAAGGUAACGGCUUACCAAGGCAACGAUGCAUAGCCGACCUGAGAGGGUGAUCGGCCACACUGGAACUGAGACACGGUCCAGGCUCCUACGGGAGGCAGCAGUAGGGAAUCUUCCGCAAUGGGCGAAAGCCUGACGGAGCAACGCCGCGUGAGUGAUGAAGGUCUUCGGAUCGUAAAACUCUGUUAUUAGGGAAGAACAUAUGUGUAAGUAACUGUGCACAUCUUGACGGUACCUAAUCAGAAAGCCACGGCUAACUACGUG
RNAcentral lists this ribosomal RNA (495 nucleotides) under uncultured bacterium. RNAcentral describes it as "partial 16S ribosomal RNA". It matches the Rfam family "Bacterial small subunit ribosomal RNA", at positions 30 to 507 of the family's 1533-position model. The record is from RNAcentral.